This is a long non-coding RNA of Cynocephalus volans (Philippine flying lemur), 296 nucleotides long. RefSeq lists it as uncharacterized. The record is from RefSeq and is a predicted model, not a curated record. The transcript is spliced from 3 exons. Lineage: Eukaryota; Metazoa; Chordata; Mammalia; Dermoptera; Cynocephalidae.
AAUUCACCUGAGGCGAUAAUACACAUUGUGUAUAGUUUUUUGAGUGCUUUGGAGUCUACCCCUGGAGGAAGAAGCAGCUGCUUUUACCUGCUAUCUAGUUUUAAAAAACGGUUUGGCCAUCUUCUAAAGAGUUUGAACCAACUGAAGAACUAUCUUGACUAUCUUGAUGGGGGAGUUGUAGAAAUCCUUCACUGGAGUCUGAGCGGGAUUUUGGAAGCGUUACCGUCUACAGAAUCCACAGUACUCCGAAGCUCUUCUACAGUUUUUGUUAAACUCUGGUUUUCCAUCUCCAGCUU